This 321-nucleotide long non-coding RNA is filed under the name Nicotiana benthamiana. RNAcentral describes it as "long non-coding RNA (NBEN_LNC008070)". Lineage: Eukaryota; Viridiplantae; Streptophyta; Magnoliopsida; Solanales; Solanaceae. The record is from RNAcentral.
UUUGAUUGCGUGAGUGCACUUUUUUUGGGGGAAAUAUGAAAUGAUCAUUGCUUUAAAAAAAAUUGGAUUUGAUUCUUCUCUGGACCAGUCCAGUUGGAGACAGUUUAUUGUUCCUUUCCAAAGAUGAUGUUAUGGUACCAAUUAGUGCAGUGUUCAAUGUAAUUACAAUAACAACAAUCUAGCGGAAUCUCACAAGUGGAGUAUGGGUAGUGUGUCGUAGACCUUACCCUUACUCUGGAAGAGUAGAGAGGUUGUUUCCGAUAGACCCUCGGCUCACAAUGAUGCAAAGAGACAAUGGAGUAGUAACAUCGAAGGAAGUCA